RNAcentral lists this ribosomal RNA (486 nucleotides) under uncultured bacterium. RNAcentral describes it as "partial 16S ribosomal RNA". It matches the Rfam family "Bacterial small subunit ribosomal RNA", at positions 28 to 507 of the family's 1533-position model. The record is from RNAcentral.
GAUGAACGCUCGCGGCAGGCUUAACACAUGCAAGUCGAGGGGCAGCGCGGGAUAGCAAUAUCCUGGCGGCGACCGGCGGAAGGGUGCGUAACGCGUGAGCGACAUGCCCGUUGCCCGGGGACAACCGGUGGAAACGCCGACUAAUCCCCGAUGGGAUAUUGUGCCGCAUGGCACGAUAUUGAAAGUUACGGCGGCGACGGAUUGGCUCGCGUCCGAUUAGCUUGUUGGCGGGGUAACGGCCCACCAAGGCUGCGAUCGGUAGGGGUUCUGAGAGGAAGGCCCCCCACAAUGGGACUGAGACACGGCCCAUACUCAUACGGUAGGCAGCAGUAAGGAAGAUUGGUCAAUGGGCGGAAGCCUGAACCAGCCAUGCCGCGUGCGGGAAGUAGGCCCUAUGGGCUGUGAACCGCUUUUGCCUGGGGGCAAUAAGGGCGUCGCGCACGUCCGAUGAGAUUACCAGGCGAAUAAGCAUCGGCUAACUCCGUG